RNAcentral lists this ribosomal RNA (242 nucleotides) under Alexandrium margalefii. RNAcentral's name for it is "partial Bacterial small subunit ribosomal RNA". The stretch from base 1 to 175 matches the Rfam family "Bacterial small subunit ribosomal RNA", at positions 346 to 538 of the family's 1533-position model. Lineage: Eukaryota; Dinophyceae; Gonyaulacales; Pyrocystaceae. The record is from RNAcentral.
AGGCUGCAGUUAAGAGUAUUUGGCAAUGAACGAAAGUUUGACCAAGUUAAUUUACGUUUAGGAAGAAGGUGUAUUAACUGUAAACUAAUAGAAACUAAUAAAAAAAUGAUUAAAAUUAGUGUAAGGGCUGUCUAACCAGUUGUGCCAGCAGACGCGGUUAUACAACGAGCUCUAGUUUAUAUCAGUAUUACUAGAUUUUAAAGACCUGAAGGCUGCAUAUAAAGAUAAAAAAGUUGAAAGAC